CGUUCAGGCGGUGGGACAAGUCGGGCAUGAAAUCCUUCGGCUCAACCGGGGGAGGUUGUCCGAUACUGUCGCACUGGAGGGCAGUAGAGGGUGGUGGAAUUCCGGGUGUAGUGGUGAAAUGCGUAGAGAUCCGGAGGAACACCAGUGGCGCAAGCGGCCACCUGGACUGUACCUGACGCUGAAACGCGAAAGCUAGGGGAGCGAACG
RNAcentral lists this ribosomal RNA (207 nucleotides) under uncultured bacterium. RNAcentral describes it as "partial 16S ribosomal RNA". It matches the Rfam family "Bacterial small subunit ribosomal RNA", at positions 568 to 774 of the family's 1533-position model. The record is from RNAcentral.